GUCAUGGGCUUCAGGCUCCUCUGCUGGGUGGCCCUUGGUCUCCUGGGAGCAGGCCCUGCGGAUGCUGAGGUCACUCAAAGCCCCAGACACCUGGUCACAGCAAGGGGUCAGGCAGUGACCCUGAGAUGCAACUAUGAAUCUGGGCACCAGUAUGUGUCCUGGUACCAACAGGCUCUGGGCAAGGGCCCCCUGUUCCUUGCUCGUUAUGUAAAUGGAGAAGAGGAGUUAAAAGGAGACAUCCCUGUGCACUUCUCAGUCCAACAGUUCAGUCAGGACUCCUGCUCGGAGCUGAGCGUGAGCUCCGUGGAAGGGGGCGACUCUGCCCUGUACCUCUGUGCCAGCAGCCUCACAGCCCUGCCUGCUCGGCUGCCUCCUGCACAAAAACAGCCCUGGCCAGCCCAGGAAGUGGCAGCAAGGGGAGGCGGCCAGGAGGCCGGGCUGAGCUUGUGCAAAGGACAGUCUCUGUGCCCUCAGGUUUGGGAGGGGAUUUAG
Sorex araneus (European shrew) is the source of this 492-nucleotide non-coding RNA. The record is from the annotation of a RefSeq genome assembly. Lineage: Eukaryota; Metazoa; Chordata; Mammalia; Eulipotyphla; Soricidae.